UUGGUUAAGUUAGAAAGGGCGCACGGUGGAUGCCUUGGCACUAGGAGCCGAAGAAGGACGGGACUAACACCGAUAUGCUUUGGGGAGCUGUACGUAAGCGUUGAUCCAGAGAUUUCCGAAUGGGGGAACCCACUAUCUUUAGUCGGAUAGUAUCCUUACGUGAAUACAUAGCGUGAGGAAGGCAGACCCAGGGAACUGAAACAUCUAAGUACCUGGAGGAAGAGAAAGAAAAAUCGAUUUCCUGAGUAGCGGCGAGCGAAACGGAAAGAGCCCAAACCAAGAAGCUUGCUUCUUGGGGUUGUAGGACACUCUAUACGGAGUUACAAAAGAAAGUUAUAAAUGAAGCGGUCUGGAAAGGCCCGCCAAAGACGGUAACAGCCCGGUAGUUGAAAUGGCUUUCCCUCCAGAGUGGAUCCUGAGUACGGCGGAACACGUGAAAUUCCGUCGGAAUCCGGGAGGACCAUCUCCCAAGGCUAAAUACUCCCUAGUGACCGAUAGUGAACCAGUACCGUGAGGGAAAGGUGAAAAGCACCCCGGAAGGGGAGUGAAACAGUUCCUGAAACCGUGUGCCUACAAGUAGUUAGAGCCCGUUAAUGGGUGAUAGCGUGCCUUUUGUAGAAUGAACCGGCGAGUUACGAUUUGUUGCAAGGUUAAGCGGAAAAAGCGGAGCCGUAGCGAAAGCGAGUCUGAAUAGGGCGCAUAAGUAACAGGUCGUAGACCCGAAACCAGGUGAUCUACCCAUGUCCAGGAUGAAGGUAAGGUAAUACUUACUGGAGGUCCGAACCCACGCACGUUGAAAAGUGCGGGGAUGAGGUGUGGGUAGCGGAGAAAUUCCAAUCGAACUUGGAGAUAGCUGGUUCUCUCCGAAAUAGCUUUAGGGCUAGCCUCGAGGUAAAGAGUCAUGGAGGUAGAGCACUGUUUGGACUAGGGGCCCUUCUCGGGUUACCGAAUUCAGAUAAACUCCGAAUGCCAUGUACUUAUACUCGGGAGUCAGACUGCGAGUGAUAAGAUCCGUAGUCGAAAGGGAAACAGCCCAGACCACCAGUUAAGGUCCCCAAAUAUAUGUUAAGUGGAAAAGGAUGUGGGGUUGCUUAGACAACCAGGAUGUUGGCUUAGAAGCAGCCACCAUUGAAAGAGUGCGUAAUAGCUCACUGGUCGAGUGACCCCGCGCCGAAAAUGUACCGGGGCUAAACAUAUUACCGAAACUGUGGAUGAACCUCUUUAGAGGUUCGUGGUAGGAGAGCGUUCUAAGGGCGGUGAAGUCAGACCGGAAGGACUGGUGGAGCGCUUAGAAGUGAGAAUGCCGGUAUGAGUAGCGAAAGAAGGGUGAGAAUCCCUUCCACCGAAUAUCUAAGGUUUCCUGAGGAAGGCUCGUCCGCUCAGGGUUAGUCGGGACCUAAGCCGAGGCCGAUAGGCGUAGGCGAUGGACAACAGGUAGAGAUUCCUGUACCAGUGCUAAUUGUUUAACCGAUGGGGUGACACAGAAGGAUAGGGAAUCGCACGAAUGGAAAUGUGCGUCCAAGCAGUGAGUGUGAGAAGUAGGCAAAUCCGCUUCUCGCGAAGCAUGAGCUGUGAUGGGGAAGGAAAUUAAGUACGGAAGUUCCUGAUUUCACGCUGUCAAGAAAAGCCUCUAGGAAGAGUAGUACUGCCCGUACCGCAAACCGACACAGGUAGAUGAGGAGAGAAUCCUAAGGUGAGCGAGAGAACUCUCGUUAAGGAACUCGGCAAAAUGACCCCGUAACUUCGGGAGAAGGGGUGCUCUAUUAGGGUGCAAGCCCGAGAGAGCCGCAGUGAAUAGGCCCAGGCGACUGUUUAGCAAAAACACAGGUCUCUGCAAAACCGUAAGGUGACGUAUAGGGGC
This 1861-nucleotide ribosomal RNA is filed under the name Listeria monocytogenes. RNAcentral describes it as "partial 23S ribosomal RNA". It matches the Rfam family "Bacterial large subunit ribosomal RNA", at positions 1 to 1852 of the family's 2925-position model. Lineage: Bacteria; Bacillati; Bacillota; Bacilli; Caryophanales; Listeriaceae. The record is from RNAcentral.